GGGCGAGUGGCGGAAUGGCAGACGCUCUGGACUUAAAAUCCAGUGGUCCACUCUGGACCAUGGGGGUUCGAAUCCCCCUUCGCCCACCA
Molecule: transfer RNA, 89 nt
Filed under: candidate division MSBL1 archaeon SCGC-AAA382A20
Lineage: Archaea; Methanobacteriati; Methanobacteriota
Description: tRNA-Leu
Rfam family: tRNA
About the family: Transfer RNA (tRNA) molecules are approximately 80 nucleotides in length.
Source: RNAcentral